RNAcentral lists this ribosomal RNA (1126 nucleotides) under Bacillus sp. BAB-3241. RNAcentral's name for it is "bacterial SSU rRNA". It matches the Rfam family "Bacterial small subunit ribosomal RNA", at positions 295 to 1413 of the family's 1533-position model. The record is from RNAcentral. Lineage: Bacteria; Bacillati; Bacillota; Bacilli; Caryophanales; Bacillaceae.
AGAGGGUGAUCGGCCCACACUGGCACUGAGACACGGCCCAGACUCCUACGGGAGGCAGCAGUAGGGAAUCUUCCGCAAUGGACGAAAGUCUGACGGAGCAACGCCGUGUGAGUGAUGAAGGUUUUCGGAUCGUAAAGCUCUGUUGUUAGGGAAGAACAAGUGCAAGAGUAACUGCUUGCACCUUGACGGUACCUAACCAGAAAGCCACGGCUAACUACGUGCCAGCAGCCGCGGUAAUACGUAGGUGGCAAGCGUUGUCCGGAAUUAUUGGGCGUAAAGGGCUCGCAGGCGGUUUCUUAAGUCUGAUGUGAAAGCCCCCGGCUCAACCGGGGAGGGUCAUUGGAAACUGGGAAACUUGAGUGCAGAAGAGGAGAGUGGAAUUCCACGUGUAGCGGUGAAAUGCGUAGAGAUGUGGAGGAACACCAGUGGCGAAGGCGACUCUCUGGUCUGUAACUGACGCUGAGGAGCGAAAGCGUGGGGAGCGAACAGGAUUAGAUACCCUGGUAGUCCACGCCGUAAACGAUGAGUGCUAAGUGUUAGGGGGUUUCCGCCCCUUAGUGCUGCAGCUAACGCAUUAAGCACUCCGCCUGGGGAGUACGGUCGCAAGACUGAAACUCAAAGGAAUUGACGGGGGCCCGCACAAGCGGUGGAGCAUGUGGUUUAAUUCGAAGCAACGCGAAGAACCUUACCAGGUCUUGACAUCCUCUGACAACCCUAGAGAUAGGGCUUUCCCUUCGGGGACAGAGUGACAGGUGGUGCAUGGUUGUCGUCAGCUCGUGUCGUGAGAUGUUGGGUUAAGUCCCGCAACGAGCGCAACCCUUGAUCUUAGUUGCCAGCAUUCAGUUGGGCACUCUAAGGUGACUGCCGGUGACAAACCGGAGGAAGGUGGGGAUGACGUCAAAUCAUCAUGCCCCUUAUGACCUGGGCUACACACGUGCUACAAUGGACAGAACAAAGGGCUGCGAGACCGCAAGGUUUAGCCAAUCCCACAAAUCUGUUCUCAGUUCGGAUCGCAGUCUGCAACUCGACUGCGUGAAGCUGGAAUCGCUAGUAAUCGCGGAUCAGCAUGCCGCGGUGAAUACGUUCCCGGGCCUUGUACACACCGCCCGUCACACCACGAGAGUUU